UACGUAGGGGGCAAGCGUUGUCCGGAUUUAUUGGGCGUAAAGAGCGUGUAGGCGGCCAGGUAGGUCAGCUGUGAAAACUCGAGGCUCAACCUCGAGACGCCGGUUGAAACCAUCUGGCUAGAGUCCGGAAGAGGAGAGUGGAAUUCCCGGUGUAGCGGUGAAAUGCGCAGAUAUCAGGAAGAACACCUAUGGCGAAGGCAGCUCUCUGGGACGGUACUGACGCUGAGACGCGAAAGCGUGGGGAGCGAACAGG
Molecule: ribosomal RNA, 253 nt
Filed under: uncultured bacterium
Lineage: Bacteria
Description: partial 16S ribosomal RNA
Rfam family: Bacterial small subunit ribosomal RNA
Source: RNAcentral